UCUGGUAACAAUGGCGAGAAUGUCACACCCGUUCCCAUACCGAACACGGAAGUUAAGCUUCUCAGCGCCGAUGGUAGUUGGGGCAUGCGCCCCUGUGAGAGUAGGACGUUGCCAGGC
Molecule: ribosomal RNA, 117 nt
Filed under: Bacillus sp. MM2020_4
Lineage: Bacteria; Bacillati; Bacillota; Bacilli; Caryophanales; Bacillaceae
Also listed under: 1 other name
Source: RNAcentral